Molecule: ribosomal RNA, 492 nt
Filed under: uncultured bacterium
Lineage: Bacteria
Description: partial 16S ribosomal RNA
Rfam family: Bacterial small subunit ribosomal RNA
Source: RNAcentral
AGUGAACGCUGGCGGUAGGCCUAACACAUGCAAGUCGAACGGCAGCACAGUAAGAGCUUGCUCUUACGGGUGGCGAGUGGCGGACGGGUGAGGAAUACAUCGGAAUCUACUUUUUCGUGGGGGAUAACGUAGGGAAACUUACGCUAAUACCGCAUAUGACCUACGGGUGAAAGCAGGGGAUCUUCGGACCUUGCGCGACUGAAUGAGCCGAUGCCGGAUUAGCUAGUUGGGGGGGUAAAGGCCCACCAAGGCGACGAUCCGUAGCGGGUCUGAGAGGAUGAUCGGCCACACUGGAACUGAGACACGGUCCAGACUCCUACGGGAGGCAGCAGUGGGGAAUAUUGGACAAAGGGCGCAAGCCUGAUCCAGCCAUACCGCGUGGGUGAAGAAGGCCUUCGGGUUGUAAAGCCCUUUUGUUGGGAAAGAAAAGCAGCAGGUUAAUACCCCGCUGUUCUGACGGUACCCAAAGAAUAAGCACCGGCUAACUUCGUG